AUGACUCUAACUUUGGUGUGGGGUUGGCUGAGUUGUGUUGAUCAUUGUUGAUUCCUGCGGAUCCCCCUAGAUGAAGGAAAAGACCAUCCUUAUUGCGCCAGUCUCUCAAAUUCCUCAUGCUGCUUGAACUGGGUGGAUGCUUGUUGGAGCUUUAACGAGCAUCGUCUCGCAAACUUCUGAAGUUUUGGGUCCUUCCUCCACAAAAUUUGCUCAUUGACUCUUCUUUCACUUAGUUGUCGCAUCCAAGUAGGUUCGCAUCACUUUCUCUUUCGAUUGGCAUUUCGUUGGGAAAUGAAGCGGACAAUCUACUCUCAGUAGCACUGAUCACCGUUGGUGAGGAUUUGACAACUAUUAUCUUCGAAGGGUCUUUGAACUUAUGCAGAGCUCC
This 388-nucleotide long non-coding RNA is filed under the name Musa acuminata (dwarf banana). Its description in RNAcentral is "long non-coding RNA (MACU_LNC000683)". The record is from RNAcentral. Lineage: Eukaryota; Viridiplantae; Streptophyta; Magnoliopsida; Zingiberales; Musaceae.